UACAUCCUGUGGCAUGCAAUGACGACACAAUCAGUAGGCCAUAUGAUUGGCUGACUGCUGGAUCCGCAGCAGGUUCAGCUACAAGAUACAAGAUGAUACAAAGCCUGGUCAGUGACAUGGUGGUGAUUGCAGUGCUGUGGCUUUUUGGUCCAUAUUGCUUGUGUUGGGCAUCUACAUCUCUGGUCGGCGAGUGCAAUUUGUAAGAUACAAAUCAAGAUUCAUUAGCCUCCCUUGCAGAAGGUUGUGAAAGUGAAAGGCAGUUGUGGUCCUGUCAGUGAAUUUGGAGGCUUCCCCAAUAAUCAUACCUAGGUUAACUGAAAUGUAAAUAGCCGUCCCCAUUUGGAUUGUUGUCCUGUCAGUCAGUUUUCUUCCUUUCCCAAAGUGUAAAAAGGUUUGUCGAUGCUUCAUCAUAUCAUAAGUCGGGUCUGGCGGGGUCUGCCCGGGCAAGUGGUUGUUUAUAUGGGCCAGGAAGGGAGAAUGCAUGCACAUGUCUCCUCACAGAUGUUCUUCAAUAGAUAGAUGCUCCUUUCCAGCUAAUAUAGCAUUAGAGGUGAGUUGUUACUAUGGCUUGCUUUAACCAGUGUUGUCCAGGUCAUUCUUUCUAAGCAUUGGACUAUCAUCAUCCAGUGUUGUCGUCAUAGCAGGGCUUCAUUGUCCAUUUGUACAUAUGAACUGCAUUUGUACAGUAGUUAAUUCUCUUAAGAUAAGUUGUAAUGCAUGUUUGUCCUUGGGUGUAUCUGGCAUAUUUUGAAUAAUUAAGUGAAAAAGAAGCUUGUCUCUGUGUACACAUUGUUGUUUCUUUUGCUAGAAUCAUGGGCUGUGGUCUCUGAAUAUUUUGUGUGGAAUUCUGUAUGGUUUAUUUUGAUGGUUAAGAGAUGAUGCAGCAUGAGGUUGAAUGCCAAAGGGUGUUGGAUGCUGCUAGAUUUAUCUUGAGAAACUAGAGGCAUCACAAACAAGCGGAGGUGUUGUUGCAUUGAAGCAACUGGCAAGAGGAUUCCGGGAUGCGCUGAAAUGAAAUUUUACUUGCAUUUCAGAGCAUGCGAGGAGACAAUGGGUGUCAUUUUGAGUUGUGAUAUUUCACCAUUGAAUGCUGGCUGGCAGCUUGGCAAGUCAAGACUAAAAAGGCCACCUGGUAUAGUGGUAUUCAUGCCAAAUCCAGUUGACCGAUCACAGCCCCACACCCACACACAUGCGGCAAUGGCGGAGCUUCGAUCCUUGUUCGACGAUGGUACUCCGCUGAAUAGAUGCGUUGCAAAUAGAAUGCAGCAGUAGUCCAGCAGCGAGUAGCUGACAUCGGCACCAGCCGGCCGCGAGAUGAGCUGCUCACCGCGGCCAGGACCUGACCACCACCUCCUGCUUGCCACCCUCGCGCGCCACGGCCGCCUCGCCGCCGCCGCCACGCUCUUGUCCACGGCCGUCCGCACAACACGCGCGCUCAACACCAUACUCGCCGCCCUCUGCUCCUCCCCGUCGCUGCUCCGCGCCGCCCCCUCCGUGCUCCUCCUCGCCGCCCCCACCGCCUCCCCUGACGCGGCCACCUUCCGCGUCCUCACCUCCGCGCUCUGCCGCGCAAGCCGCCCCUCCGCCGCCGCCGGCCUCGUGCGCUGCAUGCCCUCCCUCCACCUCGACCCGGACUCGCCGCUGUGCCGCGCCGUGCUCUCCUCCCUGUGCCGCUACGCCCCGGCGCGGGACGCGGCGGCGUUCCUGGACGACAUGCGCCGGUGGGGCGUCCCGCCCAGCGGGCUUGAUCACCGCGCCGUCCUCCGCGCCCUGCUACGUGAGGGGAUGGUGGCGGAGGCAUACGAGGUCGUCAAGGAGAAGAUGGGCUCCGAUGGCGUGGCCCCCGGGGUGGCCGACUUCGAGCUGUUGCUGCGCGCGUUCAGCGAGCGCGGGCAGUUCGACGCCGUCGACGAGGCGUUCGACGAAAUGCUCCUUCGAGGGCUCGUGCCGGGCGUGGCCGUCUACAACGUGUACGUCGCCGCGCUGUGCAAGAAAGGGGACCUGGCCGGCGCGCGCCGGAUGGUGGAGUGCAUGGAGCGCGCCGGCUGCCCGCCGGACGUCAGGACGUUCAGCGUCGUGGUCGCCGGGUGCGUGUCCGCAGGGGACGCCGGCGCUGCCAGGGACGUGGCGUGGGAGGCGGUGCAGCGGGGCCUGCGGUGGGACACGCCGUCGAUGGUGGAGCUGGUCGGCCUGCUCCGGGCGGGCGGGCACGUCGCGGACGCGCACGGGCUACUGCUGGACGUGUUCCUGCACGGCGGGUGCACUGGAGUGGACGCCUCGACGCUCGGGCAGCUGAUAUGUGCCGGCGAAGACGCCUGCAGCGUGAUCACAGAUCACCCGAAAGACUAGAAAGUGCAUCACAUUUUGAGGUCCAUGCCUCGUUUAAUCUGUUCCGAAUGUUUCAGCUGAAGGUCAAUCCGUCAAUGCAUUCUAGUGCUUGAUGAAUGUCCACUGGAUAUUUAGAUGUACGUAUUUCACAUAACUUUUUAAGAGUUUAAUUGCUUUGUGCACAAACUUGAAAUGCAUGCUGCGCCUAGGUGUGAAACUCCCAAAGUGGUACCCGUGAGCCCAAAUCCCUCAGUCACCGUUCUCUUACCCUCUCCCCGCCACACUAGAUCCACCGCGCCGCCGCGCCGGUGCGGGACGAGACUUGCCUGAGCCCCAUGCGUGCGCCCAUCCAUGCUCACCCCGUUAAAAUCAGAGGGAUGAUUAGAUUAGGAAGGAAAAAGAAAAAGGGACAAUCAUAGAGUGAAGUGGGAGUACGGAUGGAAGCAUGGGGAGGGAGCAGACAAGCCGAAUCCAGGGUGCGAGCAUGCCGUCGUGGAAUGACGAGAGACGUCCUCUGACUCUGAUCUCGAUUUCUACUCCGAUAAUGAUUCGAUGAGGAGUGAACGUUGAUCUGGCUUUUCCCGGUUUGAGGAUUUACUGUCCCUAUAUUAAAUCAAUUUGGUUGGUGCUUUAGAUGCCGUACACGAUUUCGUACAAGGAUUGGAGCGGGCUAGCACGUGAUGUAUCUGCACGGUGCUUCUAUAAGCUUCCUGUGAAAAGAAGUUGGCUUUUGAGUCAUUUGAUACCGAGAGGAAGUUUUUGGAUGUGGUAUGCCAUGUGAGUUCUUUUUAACUCACUAGAUGACCGUUGCGUCAAUUGGUGUAGAGAUCAAACUGCAACCUGGAAGUUAAGCAAACUAUGUGAAACAAAAAAUAAAAGUCAAAUGAACUAUUUGAAGAGACGAACUAACGAACUGCAACUCAGAAUUAAGUGAACUAUUUGAAAUAUAAAAUAUAAAUUAAGUGAACUGUUUGAAGAGAUCAACUACAUCCAUUAUUAUCAAUGCAUCUCUGUUAUUACGCCCGGUGUAAUGGAUGAGGAUCAAAUGACCCGUUGAAGUAAGUAGGUGUCUUUCUUAGCUUUGUGUCUUCAAGUCUAAUUGCAUUCAUGUUUGCAUUGACACUUUUAUUUUAGCAUAGCUGCUAUUAGAGCUGAUCUUGGAAUAGACCUCGCCGGUAAAAAAAAGCGCAUCGAUAGCUCUAUAUCCGAGAUGGGAUUGCCCAAGUCGGCCUGUUCUUUUCCGCGCGUCACCGUAUCGGUCUCUGUUCAAACUCCCGAGCACACGCUCUUUUGAGCAGCUAUACCUGGCCACAUGUCCUUUCGGUCCGGGUAGUGGACUAACCACCUUUAGUAGCCAGACAAUGUUUUGCUCCGGCUGGUUGACGUCGUCAUCGUGCAUUCAGCGAUGGAGUACCAAUACGAACCCUCAUGCCGCCACUAUUUUCAGCGUUACAACGAGCCGGCGAGGCAGCCUAGAAGAGCCAUCGUAACCAGAAGCCCGACCACUAGACCAACUAUAGCCCAAAACUUAAGCGAACUAUUUGAAACUACAUGCCGCCGGGCUUUGCCAGUUGGUCUGGUCACCUCAAUCCAUGGUACUUUCGUACUUCUUAGUCCGUUUGGUAUAAGGCUGCUCCUUUAGUAGCAAUUGAACAUGUGUAAUAGCCAUAAUGUUGAUCAUUCGAUCAUUAUUAUGACUCAUAAUAAUCGCAAGUUGGGGAGUAUUUUGAUGGCAUUGCUCGCAGCUGCCGAAUCAUAUGAUCAACAAAAUCUCAACAACAACCACGAGUUCUGACCGACUAUACGGGUUGGCAUAGAUCGAGAUUAGGAUUUGUCACUCCAGUAUCGGGGAGGUAUCUCUGGGCCCUCUCGGUAAUGCACAUCAUAAGAAGCCUUGCAAGCAAUGUGACUGAUGAGUUAGUUGCGAGAUGAUGCAUUACGGAAUGAGUAAAGAGACUUGCUGGUAACGAGAUUGAACUAGGUAUGAAGAUACCGACGAUCGAAUCUCGGGCAAGUAACAUACCGAUGACAAAGGGAAUAACGUAUGUUGUCAUAACGGUUCGAUCGAUAAAGAUCUUCAUAGCAUAUGUGAGAGCCAAUAUGAGCAUCCAGGUUCCGCUAUUGGUUAUUGACCGGAGAGGUGUCUCGGUCAUGUCUACAUAGUUCUCGAACCCAUAGGGUCCACAUGCUUAACGUUUGAUGACAAUUUGUAUUAUAUGAGUUAUGUGAUUUGGUGACCGAAUGUUGUUCGGAGUCCGGAAUGAGAUCACAGACAUAACGAGGAGUCUCGAAAUGGUCAAGAGUAAAGAUUCAUAUAUAGGACGAUAGUAUUCGGACACCGGAAGUGUUCCGGGGGUACCAGGUACGUAUAGGGUCACCGGAAGGGGUUUCGGGCAUCCCCCCGGCAACUACAUGGGCCUAAUGGGCCAAGAGUGGGAUAGACCAGCCCCUAAGGGGCUGGUGCGCCCUAUGUAGGCCGAAAUAGAGGGGGAAGGAAAGAGGGGAAGAGAGAAAGGAAGGGGAGGGAUUCAGCCUCCCCCUUCCUUCUCUCCCCCUCCUCCUUCCUCCCCCUUUGGGAAUUAUGGUGUGUGUGUGUNNNNNNNNNNNNNNNNNNNNNNNNNNNNNNNNNNNNNNNNNNNNNNNNNNNNNNNNNNNNNNNNNNNNNNNNNNNNNNNNNNNNNNNNNNNNNNNNNNNNNNNNNNNNNNNNNNNNNNNNNNNNNNNNNNNNNNNNNNNNNNNNNNNNNNNNNNNNNNNNNNNNNNNNNNNNNNNNNNNNNNNNNNNNNNNNNNNNNNNNNNNNNNNNNNNNNNNNNNNNNNNNNNNNNNNNNNNNNNNNNNNNNNNNNNNNNNNNNNNAGGCGCCUAGAACACACAACAUCAACUAUUUCUAGCCGUGUGCGGCGCCCCCCUCCGUAGUUUAUGCCUCCAGUCAUAUUCACGUAGUGCUUAGGCGAAGCCCUGCGCAGAUCACUUCACCAUCACCGUCACCACGCCAUCGUGCUGAUGCAACUCUCCCUUGACACUUUGUUGGACCAAGAGUUUGAGGGACGUCAUUGAGAUGAACGUGUGUAGAACUCGGAGGUGUCGUACGUUCGGUACUUGAUCGCUCGGAACGAGAAGAAGUUCGACUACAUCAACCGCGUUAACAAACGCUUCCACUUUCGGUCUAUGAGGGUACAUGGACACACUCUCCCCCUCUCAUUGCUAUGCAUCUCCUAGAUAGAUCUUGCGUGAGCGUAGGAUUUUUUUUGAAAUUCCAUGCUAUGUUUCCCAACACUAGGGUUUGCAAAUGGGGCGGUUACAAUCCUUAGAGAUAGGUAUGCCGGUACAAGUACGCUUGAAGUGAAUGCCAAGUCUUCAGGAAAUUUUCAUCUCGAUCACGCCAAGGGCCAGGGCCAUGGCUCAUCUCAUCCACCUUCAAUGGGUCGUCGGCCCAACCCACAACUGGCGGACAGACGUGGCAAGUACUCCCUAAUCCAGGACAAUAAUAGUAGCCCCCGAACUAGUCUUCAAGCCGAGGAUAUUUGACGUCUUCUUCGAGUUGUCUUUAUGCACUUGUGCCUUCGGCUUUUUAGACUAGUUCCAUCCACCACGUCGGCUUACAAUUUCGAGGUCAUGUCCGGUUCCGAGGUCUUCUAGGCUUCCUUGGUCGCAACAUAUGAUUCUCGAGAUCUUUAUCUCGCCAUGAGAUCUACUCUUCGGCUUGCCUUAUUGGCAUUACCAGGCCAAAGUAGCAUCCAAGCCCGUGUGCAGAAGGGCUUGACUAGGUCAAACCCUAACAACUUUUAUCAAGGGCCAAAACGUAACCUCACGUGGCAGAAUCAAUCCAUUUAAUCCAUAGUUUUUAUGAGGGGCAUCACCCAAGGCCAGUUUCUAUUGGCAUGUCCCAUCCAUGAGGUAGGAGGUCUUUCAGUCUUCCAGCAACCUCAUUAUUACACACUUGACUUUUACACACAUUAACUGCGUGACACAUCCGGAAGUGGUGAUCUGCUCCCCAUAACGGGGCAACCCCUAGACUUCGGCUGCCCUAUAAGAAGGUUGGACCGGGGGGGGGGGCAACAAAUCCAUUUCACCUUCCUCCUCACCUCUUGACACUGCAACGUAAAACCUCUAUCCAACGCCGUCAUUUUAAGAUCCACCUUGCCUUGCAUCCACCACUCAAGAUGGACGAUGCAGAGAAGGGUCUCGAAGUCGAAUCCUGCAGCGGAGGAGGGCGGUGGAUGUGCUCCACCAUCAGUGCUGGUGCCCUAGCUGAGCUCAAAGCCGCCGAACACCCCCCCCAUGACCAAGUGUUGCUCUCCCUUAGAGGAGGGUGCUAUUCACUUCGUAUCGCAAUCCCCGCUCCACACGAAGGAGAGCGGGUAAUUUUCAUUCCGCAUCUUGCCGGUGGUCUAGGUUUUCCCCUUCACCCUUUCGUUCAGGGCCUUCUUUUCUAUUAUGGGAUUGACUUCCACCAUUUGGCCUCAAUCUCUAUUCUCCACAUUGCCUCAUUUAUAAUUUUUUAUGAGGCCUUCCUCUGCAUCGAACCCCACUUCAGCCUAUGGCUAAAGGUGUUUUGUGUCAAGCCGUAUUCGGUUGGUCAUGAACUUGCGGAGUGCGGAGGGGAUGUGAUUAGCCGUCUUGGAGGCGUGGUGUGGCCUGAGGGUUCCUUCGCUAACAUGGAGGAGGCCUGACGAGGGAAAUGGUUUUAUGUGGAGGACUCCUCUAUUGGCGGUCUUGAAGGGCUUCCCUCGUUCUCGACCAACACGUCGAGGUGGUUAGCCUCCUGGGCGGCCAAGGGUUUAUACUGGGGGGAGGGACCUAAGAGAGGUCAAAGUACUCCAAGGAAAACUCAAGGCCAUGGUCGGUACGGGCGUUAAUCUAGCUGACACAGUCCACGUGAUGCUCCAUCGCUAAAUUCUUCCGCUCUAGUUCCGAGCACUGCCAAUGUGGGAAUUCAGGCAUGAGGACCAUGCCGUGGUGAAAGAUUUCUUCUGCGGAGCAGACUUCGGCGAGAUGUGGAAGCCCCUUCUUGAAGAUGGCAAGGACUCCCUACCCCCUCGGGCCGAGGAUAUUGAUCCCUACCGAACUUUUCCUAUCGCUGGAGUAAAUUAUGUUACCUGGGAAUUUUCUCUCACUCAAUCACAUACAUUUAUUGUACGACGACUCAUGAUAUUUUCUCUUAACGUAGGUUUGGUGCACUCUGGCCAAGAAGAUGAAGUCUCCGGCCCUGCUUCCCAAGGAUUCUAGAACUCCCAAGCUCGAGCGGCUCCUUACUAAGGCUCCGACUAGGAGGAGGGAGAGGAAGGUUAAGAAGGAGAACCCAUCAUCCGAGAGGAUGCCUCCGACUCUAUGCAGAUCAAGGGAAGGAAGAACAAGACGAAAGAACCUGUCUCCUCAGGGAAGUGUUACCACCUCAGCCACUCAUCAUAGUUCCUCCUCUCAGCCGAGCCCCUCUGUCCAAAAGGGGAGGAAGUACAUGACAAAGAAUCCGUCCUUCCCGGAAAAUACUUCAGGAAGUCAUAAAAGCUCUUUGAGUGAUAUCGGAUGGAGGAGUAAGGAUAGAGGGGAGGAGGCAAGCUCUUCGGGAUACUGGAACCAAGCCAUGCCUAGGGAAACUGAAAGUCUAGAUCCUCCCCGACAAUAUAAGUGCUUAAGGAAGGCGCAUGCUGUCCUGACCUGCAAGGCGUCGAUACAGGUGGAGUUAAUUAACUCGGAUCCUUCUAAGGGCACUCUUCCCCAACACGACCAUCCAGAUUCCCAGAAGUAAUUUUUGUUUUACCCCAUGCACCGCGCUCCCUCUAUAGUAUUUUAUCUUGAGGCAGCGGUUGUUCUUAUUCUGUGCCACCCGCAACGAUCAUCCCACCAAGGGCAACUCUGGCACCCAAACCUCCUCAUUCGGAGUUGAAGCUCUGCCUGUUACCAACCUUGGAAUGGUCUUGCUACCAAGGUGGGAUCGGCAGAUGGAGGCGAUUUUAAAGAGUUCCUCCAUUUCCCAAGGACAAAUGGCCGUGCUUGAAAGGAUCCUAACCCAGUUCUGGUCUACCAAGGCUGUGAUGCUGGAUAUGUUCUCUGACCUUGCCAAGGUUUUUGAGAUAUGUGACCGGCUAAGCCUCUAGCAUUAGUUUUAUGACUCGGCACAGGGCGUUAAGUUUUUCCGAGGAUGAUUUAAAGCAUCAUCCGAGGUUGGAAAUUUAUAUGCUAACAAAUAGCGCAUAAAAAGUUUUUUUUACCUUGUAUGGGGAUGCAGUAGCCCCCAAGCCUUAAGUUAGUUUUGAUAAAACUGGUUUGAGGGUUGAAACCUUUUUAAUUUGGAUUUUGCAGCAGCCCCCAAGUCUUUGAAUAACAACAGGCAUCUAGAGUGUCAAAUCGUUCCUCCGACUUCAACUUGUGUAUUGUGACACACAUGACUUCAUGUCUUCCUCGGCCUCCAAUAUACAAAAUCCGGAGGAUCUAAACUGCCAGCUGACACGGUUAGAGGAGGACGUGAGUAUGAUAGAGGAAAAUAUUAGGGUGUCACAAGGUAAUUAAUAAUUACCAUGUACCGUGCGUAGAACGAUCGAGGAUCAUAAUGCAAUGUUGUUUUGUGAAGCGGUUGAAGAGGCCUCGACUACGCUUCGUGCCGAGCUAUUGAAGGUACGAUCCGAGUUGGAAUGGCACAAGGCAGCGUGAUACGUCCAUUUUGCAUCAUGUUUUCUGAUGUCACUUGAACUACGUCGGUAUUUCCCCAAAGAGGAAGGGAUGAUGCACCACAACUACGGUAGGUAUUUUCCUCAGUUAUGAAACCAAGGUAUCAAUCCAGUAGGAGAACCAAGCAACACUAUGUAAAUGGUACAUGCACACAAAGAACAAAUACUUGCAACCCGACGGUUAUGAGGGGUUGUCAAUCCCUCUACGAGUAACGGCACCAGAAAUUGUCAAGUUGACGGGAUAAAAAAUGUGAUAGAUUGGAUAAAUAGAUCUCAAUAAAACACGAAUUAAAAUAAGUAAUAAAAAAGUGCAGCAAUGUAUUUUUGGGUUUUUGGAAUAAUAGAUCUGAAAAUAAAAGCAAAUAAAAAUAGAUCUCAAAGCAAAUAUGAGGGAGAAUAGACCCGCCCCCCAUAGAUUUCACUAGUGGCUUCUCUCGAGAAAAUAGCACACGGUGGGUAAAUAAAUUACUGUUGGGUAAUUGAUAGAAGGUCGAAUAAUUAUGACAAUAUCCAAGGCAAUGAUCAUUAUAUAGGCAUCACGUCCAAGAUUAGCAGACCGACUCCUGCCUACAUCUACUACUAUUACUCCACACAUUAACCGCUAUCCAGCAUGCAUCUAGUGUAUUAAGUUCAUGGAGAAACAGAGUAAUGCAAUAAGAACGAUGUCAUGAUGUAGAUGAGAUCUAUUCAUGUAGGAAUAAUCCCCAUCUUGUUAUCCUUAAUAGAAACGAUACAUACGUGUCUUGCUGCCCCUUCUGUCACUGGGAAAGAACACCGCACGAUCGAACCCAUCACAAAGCACCUCUUCCCAUGGCAAGAAAAAUAGAUCUAGUUGGCCUAGCUAAACCAAAGAUUCAAAGAAGAAAUAGGAGACUAUAAGUAAUCAUGCAUAUAAGAGAUCAAAGAAGACUCAAAUAAUAUUCAUGGAUAUAGAUUGGAUCAUAAACUCAAAGUUCAUCGGAUCCCAACAAACACACCGCAAAAAGAGUUACAUCAAAUAGAUCUCCACGAGACCAUUGUAUUGCGAAUCAAAAAGAGAGAAGAAGCCAUAUAGCUACUGCCUACAGACCCGUAGGUCUAUGAUGAACUACUCACGCAUCAUCAAAAAGGCACCAAUGAGGAUGAUGAACCCCUCCGUGAUGGUUUGGUAGAUUGGAUCUGGUGGUUCUGGAACUUGCGGCGGCUGGAAUUGUGUUUUGUUGACUCCCCUAGGGUUUUUGGAAUAUUGGGGUAUUUAUAUAGUGAAGAGGCAGUGCGGGAGGCCACCAAGGUGUGCACAACCAGGUGGGUUGUGCUCCCCUUGGAGCCCCCCUCUAGUACUUCUUUGGCCCAAGCUGUGUCUUCUGGUCCAUAAAAAUUCUCCAAAAAGUUUCACUGUGUUUGGACUCCGUUCGGUACUGAUAUUCCACGAAGUAAAAAACAAGCAAAAAACAGCAACUGGCACUAGGCACCAUGUCAAUAGGUUAGUCCCAAAAAAUGAUAUAAAGUUGCUAUAAAAUGAUUGUAAAACAUCCAAGAAUGAUAAUAUAACAACAUGGAACAAUAAAAAAUUAUAGAUUCAUUGGAGACGUAUCAUUUUCCUACUAAUAUUUAUUGGAAUUUGGACUGUUAUUUCAUUUUAUGAUACAAUUAUUAUGCCUUCUGUCUCUAUUGCAAGUUUCACAUGAAGAGGGAGAUUGCCGACAGCUGGAAUUCUCGACCAGAAAGGGCUAUAUUAGAUAUAACUAUUUUGCACAACUCCAAAUGAACUAAAAAUUGAUGGAGAAUUAUUUUGUAAUAUAUAAAAAUUAUUGGCGAAAGAAACAUCAGUAGGGGACCCACCAUGUAGCCACAAGCCUAGGGGCACGCCCUACCCCCCAGGGUGCGCCCCUGGACUUGUGGGGCCCCUAGCAAGCCUCUGAGGUCCAUGCUCUACUAUAUGAUGCCAUUUGACCUAGAAUUUUUUUUAAGAGGAAGGUUUCGGGACGAAGCGCCACCGUCUCGAGGCGGAGCCUAGGCAGGAGCACUUUUGCUCUCCAGCGGAGCAAUUCCGCCAAGGAAACUUCCCUCCGGGAGGGGGAAAUCGAAACCAUCGACAUCACCAACGAUCCUGUCAACGUGGGUGACUGAUCUUCAUCAACAUCUUCACCAUCACCAUCUUAUCUCAAACCCUAAGUCAUCUCUUGUAUUCAUUCUUUGUCUCAAAACCUUAGAUUGGUAUCUGUGGGUUGCUAGUAGUGUUGACUACAUCCUGUAGUUGAUGCUAGUUACUUUAUUUGGUGGAAGAUUAUAUGUCCAGAUCCUUAAUGAUAUUCAAUACCCCUCUAAACUUGAACAUGAAUAUGAUUUGUGGGUAGUUAAUUUUGUUCUUGAGGACAUGGGUGAAGUCCGGUUAUAAGUAGCCUUGUGAAUUUGGUAUUUGUUCGGUAUCUUGAUGAUAUGUAUGUUGUUGCUUCCUUUAGUGGUGUCAUGUGAACGUCGACUACAUGACACUUCACCAUACUUGGGCCAAAGCGAAGGUAUUGUGGAUUAGUAAUUAGAUGAUGGGUUGCUAGAGCGACAGAAGCUUAAACCCUAGUUUAUGCGCUAUUCCGUAAGGGGUUGAUUUGGAUCCAUAUGUUUCAUGCUAUGGUUAGAUUUGUCUUAAUUCUUAUUUCGUAGUUGCGGAUGCUUGUGAGAGGGGGUAAUCAUAAGUGGGAGGCUUGUUCAAGUAAGAAUAGAACCCAAGCACCGGUCCACCCACAUAUCAAAUUAUCGAAGUAGUGAACGUGAAUCAAACAAACAUGAUGAAAGUGACUAGAUGAAUUCCCAUGUAUUCUCAAGAACGCUUUGCUUGCUAUAAGAGAAAGUUCCGACCUGUCCUUUGCUAUAAAAAGGAUUGGAAUACCUUGCUGCACCUUUGUUACUAUUGCUACUUGUCAGUUGUUACGAACUAUCUUGCUAUCAAACUAUCUGUUACCAACAAUUUCAGUGCUUGCAGAAAAUACCUUGUUGAAAACCGCUUGUCAUUUCCUUCUGCUCCUCGUUGGGUUCGACACUCUUACGUAUCGAAGGACUAUAUAUGAUUGACCCCCUAUACUUGUGGGUCAUCAAUACUCUUUUCUGGAACUGUUGCUGGGGAGUGAAGCGCCUUUGGUAAGUGGAAUUUGGCAAGGAAACAUUUAUAUUACAUGCUGAAAUUUACUAUCACUUGUCACAAUGGAAAGUAAUCCUUUGAGGGUUUUGUUCGGGGUAUCUUCACCUCGACCGAAAGCACAAGGAGUUGCUCCUCAACCUACUGAAAAUAUUUAUUAUGAGAUUCCUUCGGGUAUGUUAGAUAAACUGCUAGCUAAUCCUUAUGCAGGAGAUGGAACGAUACGUCCUGAUAUGCACUUGAUAUAUAUAUAUAUAUAUAUAUAUAUAUAUAGAUGAAGUUUGUGGAUUGUUUAAGCUUGUAGGUUCAUAUGAGGAUGAAGUGAAUAAGAAAGUAUUCCCUUUAUCUUUGGAGGGAAAGGCCUCGACAUGGUAUAUUCUAUUGGAUGAUACUGGAACAUGGGACUGGAACCGGUUGAAAUUGGAAUUUCAUCACAAGGUUUAUCCUGUGCCUCUGGUUCAUCAGGAUCGAAAUUAUAUAUAUAAUUUUUGGCCUCAUGAAGGAGAAAGUAUCUGUCAAGCUUGGAGGAGGCUUAAUUAUGAUAUACACAUGCCCCAAUCAUGAGCUCUCAAGAGAAAUUAUUAUUCAUAAUUUUUAUGCUUGAUUUUCCCAUAAUGAUCGAUCCAUGCUCGACUCUCUUCUAUUGGUUCUUUUAUGUAGAAAACUAUUGAAUUCAAGUGGAAUCUCUUGGAAAUAUUAAACACAACUCUGAAGAUUGGGAAUUCGUCAAAGGUAAAGAGUUAGGUAUAAAUCUUGAGUUUGAUUGUGUCAAAUCUUUUAUGGAAACUGAUGCUUUUCAUAAGUUUAGUACUAAAUAUGGACUUGACUCUGAGAUAGUAGCUACAUUUUGUAAAUCUUUUGCUGCUCAUGUUGAUAUCCCUAAGGAGAAGUGGUUUAAAUAUCAUCCACCUAUUAAGGAAAAAAAUUGAGGAGCCCAUUAUAGUAAAAGAGGAAACAAUGGUUUACAAUGUUGAUCCAGUUGUGCCUACUGCUUAUAUUGAGAAACCUCUUUUUCCCAUUAGGAUUAAGGAACAUGCUAAAGCUACAACUGUGGUUAAUAAAAGUAAUAUUAGAACACCUAGACCCUCUGAACAAAUUAAGGUUGAACCUAAUAUUGCAAUGGUUAAAGAUCUUCUGGUUGAUAAUAUUGAUGAGCUUGUUAUUUACUUUUGUGAUGAUACUGCUAGAAUUGCUAAACCCGUUAGAAAUGAAUGCGAUAUGCUAGAUAAGAAUAAACACAUAGUGGACAUGCCUAUUGUUUCUGUUAAAAUUGGAGAUCAUUGCUAUCAUGGCUUAUGUGAUAUGGGUUAUAGUGUUAGUGCUAUUCCGUUUACUCUAUGUCAAGAAAUUAUGAAUGAUAUUGCACCUGCUGAGGUUGAAGAUAUUGAUGUCACUAUUAAGCUAGCAAAUAGAGAUACUAUUUCACCGCUUGGGAUUGUUUGAGAUGUUGAAGUAUUGUGUGGUAAGAUCAAAUACCCUACUGAUUUCUUAGUACCUGUUUCACAACAAGACAAUUUUUGUCCCAUUAUAUUUGGUAGACCUUUGUUGAAUACUGUUAAUGCUGAAAUUGAUAGUGAGAAUGAGAAGGUUAGAGUUAAAUUUGGUGAUGUUCUCAUGAGUUCAAUUUCUCUAAGUUUAAUAGACAACCUCAUGAAGAAGAAUUGUCAAGUAAGGAUGAAAAUAUUGGUCUUGCUUCUAUUGUUGUUCCUCCUACCGAUCCUUUAGAACAAUACUUGCUAGACCAUGAAAAUGAUAUGCAUACGAAUGAAAGGAAUGAAAUAGAUGAUAUAUUCUUCAAACAAGUACCUAUCCUUAAACAUAACUUGCCUGUUGAAACUCUUGGGGACCCUCUUCCACCUAAGAGUGAUCCCGUGUUUGAAUUAAAAUAAUUACCUGAUACAUUGAAAUAUGUUUAUCUUGAUGAAAAUAAGAUAUAUCAUGUUAUUAUUAGUGCUAACCUUUCAGAGCAUGAAGAAAAGAGAUUAUUAAAAACUCUGACGAAGCACCGUGCUGCUAUUGGAUAUACUCACUAUUGUAGGUUGGUCCAAACGGGACAAUACAAUCAUAGACCCUUUGACAAAACUGUGUGGGAUGCAUUAAUCGCAAAUGGUGGUGUAAGAAAACAGUAAAAAAAUGAUACAAACUGUUUGCGAUGGCUCAAACAUAAAACACGAUUCAGAUUAGAGCCGUGUGUGCGAUAUGUGGCAUAUAGUUGGUCCAUAUGAAAUGUUUGCGAAGAGCACAACAACAGAAAUAGUCAGCCAGAUGAGGGUGUGUGCGAUAUACAACAUCCAGUUCACUCAGAUGAACUGUUUGUGAUUAGACAACACAACAGAAACGGUCAGCCAGAUUAAGGUGUGUGCGAUAGAGGGCAUACAAUUCACUCUGGUGAACUAUUUGCGAUGAGCCAAGACAACAGAAAUGGUUCAGCUGAACAAGAUGUGUGUGAUACACGGCAAAUAGGCCCAUAAUCAGAAAUGUGCGCGAAGACCAAUAAUAACACAGACAAUUACUGCUAAUAAGCCGUGUGUGUUGUGGGCAAACGCUUGCUUUGUCAAUGAUUGAUGAACUCAUCACCGACGGUUUCCCUAGUUUACUCCGUCUACGAUGUGACUUGCUCUGUCUAUAGAAGAACAACAUAUAUAACCAAAAUAAACAUCCAAUUACAUUAGUGACUAUACAAAUCAUUCGCACACACCUCAAUAAACAAUUACAUGCAUUCUAAACUAGGAGAAAUGAUCAUCUAAUCAUCUACUUCUUGUGAUGCUACUGCCACUGCUUUGUGGCUCGAUCCCUUGUCCGGGGAAGGACAAAGGCACUUCCUUAUGUCAAUGAUCCGCCUGUACAUCGCGUAGCUUGUGUACGCGUACAUGGCCGCGUACUUGACGUGUUCUUCAUCUAGUCUCUGCUCCCAAGCAUUGUGCUAGGCGAUCCUGUCCUUCUUGCUCUCAUCCUUCACCUUCGUGUAGUAGGGGUCGAUGAUGGCUGAGGUGAGGUCAACCAGGGAGUUUUGAUUGUUCUUGGUGCUGCCCCUGACCUUGUUGUGGUCAUGGAUGUUUUUUUGACAGAAAGACUGUAAGGGAACCCCCUACAGUAUAAUUGGUGCAACAAACCCAAAUUACAAGUACCAUGCCUUGAACCUGGGUGGGUGGGAAGGCAUCAACCCCUUCCCACCACUAGGCUAUGCCUUAGUCUGCUUGUGGUCAUGGAUGUUGACAAGAUUCUGGUAGGCCAAGCCUGAAACCUUGAGUGCUUUUUGAUUGUCGGUGGUGUCCACCGUAGCGAAACUGUAGUCGACGCUGAUGAUAAACCUGGCAAAACGCUUGCAAGGCCUUGUGGCCAGGUGGUAGUGGUAGACGAGGACGUCAUGGCGCAUGCACAACUGAGAGACGACAACCUUCUGAUCAUGCCCAGUACGACCGUCGGUGAACUCAAGGUCGAAGCCAACCACUUGGUACUUGUCCUCAGCAAGCAACCGCUCCAUAGUUUGGAUGGAGCUCUUCACCGAGACCGACUCAGUCGUGUACACCACCGAGAGAUCCUUCCCCCUCACGUGGGUGUCCACUACGUGAUGCAUGGUGAACUGCCGCCCAUUGUCGUCGUCAACCGCUGGAGCGUCGUUGGAGCCAUGGAGAGCGCCAUUGGAACCGCGGGAUAUCCUCUCUGUAUGUGUUGUCGUGGGUGUGAUUAUUGUGUCGUGUGGCACAAGAGAUUAAGGUAAAUGGCCACGGGAAUAAAUGUGGGCCGGGCGGCCUGGAUUCUCGGCAUGUCCGCAUGGAAGUUUUUGUAGCGGGCAACUGCAUCGUGGCGCCGCGCCCGGCGCAACCGCAUGCGUAAUGGCAGCACGAACGUACGUGGGCCCAAACACUGGCAGAGCGCAUGGAGGGACAAAUUCUCUGUUGCUUAUUGCUUGACUUUGCUUUGGUCUCACCAGUUUAUGCAAUUGGUCUCACCGAGUUGGCUUGACAGAUUCUCUGUUGCUUAUUGCUUCACGUCGGUCCCACUGAGUUGAUGCAAUCGACGCCACCGAGAUGAUGUUUUCCCUAAGCCCUAGCACAUCAGUCCCACCGAGUUGUUCCAGUCAGUCCCACCGAGAUUCCUAACAUUCAUAUUUUUGAACAAAUCGGUGCCACCGAGUUUCCUAAUCGGUGCCACCGAGAUGAGUCAAAAGUGUGUAACAAUUGGAUUUUAUGUGGAGGCUAUAUAUACCCCUCCAUCCCUUCUCCAUUUGAGAGAGAGCUAUCAGAACGUGCCUACACUUCUACCAUCCAUUUUCUGAAAGAGAACCACCUACUCACGUGUUGAGAUCAAGAGACCCCAUUCCAACCUUUUGAACCUUGAUUUUUAGCCUCCCGCAAGUUUGUUUCCACUCAAAUCCCUCUUCCACCAUAGCCAAAUCUGUGAGAGAGACUUGAGUGUUGGGGAGACUAUCAUUUGAAGCAUAAGAGCAAGGAGUUCAUCAUCUACACACCAUCUAUUACCUUUUGGAGAGUGGUGUGAUACGUCUCCAAUGUAUCUAUAAUUUUUUAUUGUUCCAUGCUAUUAUAUUAUCUGUUUUGGAUGUUUUUAUGCAUUAAUAUGCUAUUUUAUAUUAUUUUUGGGACUAACCUAUUAACCUAGAGCCCAGUGCCAGUUUCUGUUUUUUCCUUGUUUUUGAGUUUUACAGAAAAGGAAUAUCAAAUGGAGUCCAACUGGAAUAAAACUUUCAGAUGAUUUUUCUUGGACCAGAAGACACCCAUAGGACUUGGAGAUGAAGCCAGAGGAGUCCCGAGGCAGCCACAAGCCUUAGGGGCGCGCCAUAGGGGGGGCGCCCUGAGGGCUUGUGGGCCCCUUGGAGCUCCUACCACCCUAAUUCUUGGCCUAUAAAUUCACAAAUAUUCCCAAACGACCAGAAGCGUCCACCAAAAUACUUUUCUGCCGCUGUAACCUUCUGUACCCGUGAGAUCCCAUCUAGGGGCCUUUUUUGGCAUCCUAUCGAAGGGGGACUCGAUCAUGGAGGGCUUCUACAUCAACUCUAUUGCCCUUCCGAUGAAGCGUGAGUAGUUUACCUCAGACCUAUGGGUCCAUAGCUAGAAGCUAGAUGGCUUCUUCUCUCUCUUUGAUCUCCAAUACAAUGUUCUCCUCGAUGUUCUUGGAGAUCUAUCCGAUGUAAUAUUCUUUUUGCAGUGUGUUUGUCGAGAUCCAAUGAACUGUGGAUUUAUGAUCAGAUUAUCUAUGAAUAUUAUCUAAAUCUUCUGUAAAUUCUUAUAUGCAUGAUUUGAUAUCUUUGUAUUUCUCUUCAAAUUAUCGGUUUGGUUUGGCCAACUAGAUUGGUUCUUCUUGCAAUGGGAGAGGUGCUUAGUUUUGGGUUCAAUCUUGCGGUGUCCUCACCCAGUGACAUAGUAGGGGUAGCGAGGCAUGUAUUGUAUUGUUGCCAUCAAGGGUAAAAAGAUAGGGUUUUCAUCAUAUUGCUUGAGUUUAUGCCUCUACAUCAUGUCAUCUUACUUAAGGCGUUACUUUGUUCUUUUGAACUUAAUACUCCAGAUGCAUGAUGAAUAGUGGUCGAUGUGUGAAUUAAUAGUAGUAGAUGCAGAAUCGUUUCGAUCUACUUGACACGGACGUGAUGCCUAUAUUCAUAAUCAUUGCCUUGGGUAUCAUCAUAACUUUGCGCUUUUCUAUCAAUUUCUCGACAGCAAUUUGUUCACCCACUGUAUGUUUUCUUUCAAGAGAGAAGCCUCUAGUGAAACCUAUGCCCCCGGGUCUAUUUUCCAUCAUAUAUUUUCAGAUGUAUUAACCAAAAAACCCCAAAAUACCCUGCUGCAAUUUAUUUGUUUUUACAUUGUUUUACGUUUUAGAAAUCUUUUAUACCUAUCUCUAUUAGAUCUCAUCCUUGCAAUUGACCGUGAAGGGAUUGACAACCCCUUUAUCGCGUUGGGUGCAAGUGUUUGAUUGUUUGUGCAGGUGCAUAGAUUGGAUACUUGCUUGUACCUCCUACUAAAUUGAUACCUUGGUUCUCAAACUGAGGGAAAUACUUCUCUACUUUGCUGCAUCACCCUUUUCUCUUCAAGGGGAAAACUAAUGCAAGCUCAAGAAGUAGCAUGAAGAAUUUCUGGCGCCGUUGCUGGGGAGGUUCUACAUCAAGCCUACCAAGUACCCACCAUAAACUCUCAUCUCUUGCAUUACAUUAUUUGCCAUUUGCCUCUCGUUUUCCUCUCCCCCACUUAUAAAAUGAUUUUCAGGAAAUACAAGAUUUGCCUUUUUAUUCGCCCUUCUUCCGUUCGUCUUUUAAUUUGCCUUUUUGUUGCUCGUUUGCUAGAUCGGUUUGUUGCCACCAUGUCUGAACCUGGGGAGGUUAUCAUUGAAAUUUUUGAGAAUAUUGCUAGCAUAAAACUUGAGGAAAAACCUUGUUCUUGUUCUUUAGAUCGUGAAACUGAAACUCCCCCUGAUGGUUGAGUAUGUGGACUUUCCAAAAGGCUCUGAUACAAGACCCUUCCUAAAAAUAUGAUGAAUUGUAGUUGCAAAGUUGACUGAGAACAUAGUUUGUUGGUUUUCAAUAAGGUUUAUGCUCUAUACUUCGAUGCUGUGAUGAAUUGUUACUUGUUCAUGAGAAGUUAUAUGAUAGAAUUAGUAUAAUAAAGUUUGUUGCUCCUAUAAUAAUAAGCAUGAUGCUACUAUGUUUAUAUUUUUUUAUCGACACCUCUCUCUCUAACCAUGUGGACAUGUUUUUCGAUAUCGGCUUUCGCUUGAGGACAAGCGAGGUCUAAGCUUGGGGGAGUUGAUACGUCCAUUUUGCAUCAUGAUUUCAUACUAUUAUUUAUAAUAUUUUUAUGCAUAAUAAUUCGUUAUGGAGUAAUUGUAAUGCCCUUUCUCUCAUAUAUAUGCAAGGUUUACACAAAGAUGGAGAAUGCCGACAGUUGGCUGGACCUGAAAAGCUAUGUCAGAGUUACCUAUUCUACACAUCUCCAAAUGAGCUGAAAAUUUAUGGAGAAAUAUUUUCAAAUAUAUAAAAAAUAAUGAAGCAAAUAACUACGAGAGGGGGUCACCUGGUGACCACAAGACAGCAAGGCGCACCAGGUCCCCCAGGCGAGCCCUGGUGGGUUGUGGCCAGCCCGGCCCACCUUCGGUGCCACCUUAUGGUAUAUAAGUCAUUUUGACCUAGAAAAAAAA
RNAcentral lists this long non-coding RNA (19253 nucleotides) under Triticum aestivum (bread wheat). Its description in RNAcentral is "long non-coding RNA (TAES_LNC007136)". The record is from RNAcentral. Lineage: Eukaryota; Viridiplantae; Streptophyta; Magnoliopsida; Poales; Poaceae.